Molecule: long non-coding RNA, 598 nt
Organism: Melitaea cinxia (Glanville fritillary)
Lineage: Eukaryota; Metazoa; Arthropoda; Insecta; Lepidoptera; Nymphalidae
Exons: 2
Source: RefSeq, a predicted model, not a curated record
GAUAACCCCAGCACGUCAUUUGAUACUAUAUCUAGUAAUUAUGACGACCCCGGCAUUCACGCUGGCCCGAGUGAUUCCUCUCAGCAAUUACGUUGUGUAAAUUGUGGUUUAAAUAUCACGAGAACACGAAGGCAUUUGUUGGAAAUUGUAGAAGUGCGAAAUCUUAUAAAACAAUGGGUUCGAUCACAGCAGGUUAGUUAUAUGAUUUUAAGUUAAUAUCUACGAAAUAUCACGUCGCACGUCGCUUUAAGAUAUCUAAUGAUUAAUACUUCUUUGUUAGGUACAAGUGUCAAGUUCCAGUUUAGUGUGCCAUUCGUGUUGGUCUGCCGCCUGGAGACAAAUACGAGAUCCAACUGGUGAACAGCACAAUACUCAAACUGUUGGACAUAAACAAGUGUGCAUUAGCUGUGGCAGGUCACUUUUGAGAAUAAGGUCACAUAUACUCAGGACUGAUUCUCCACGUGAAGAACUCAUAAGGUGUGAGAUUGCCCGUCAAAUUGCACCACGUGAGCUAUCAUCAUCAACUCGUUUGUGUCAUAAUUGCUGGCGAAGAACUGAUAGAGCUACAUCACGUUCAACUGCACAACGGGAAUCUGAA